GGCUCUGCUGCCAUCAGGAGGUACUGCCAGCGCCGGUCAGGGGGCUCAAUCCUUUGCUCAUAUGCUGACAUGAACCGAUGGCGAGGCAUAAUGCUUUCUGCAAUCUCUGGGUAAUCAAUCUGGAAGAGAAGGCUCUGCUGGCCUGUCUCUGGAUCUCUCUGUUUGGUCACUUUAUAACCUGGUCGUCCAAUUUUCACAAACUUCUUCACUUCCACUUUGACUUUUUCUGGUGCAGGUUGGGCAGGGGCUUCCUUUGCUUCCUUGGCAGCUCGACGGGCCAGAUUGGUCUGAUGCUUCUUCCCCUGGGUAUGUGCUAAGUAACUU
This 324-nucleotide long non-coding RNA is filed under the name Gallus gallus (chicken). Lineage: Eukaryota; Metazoa; Chordata; Aves; Galliformes; Phasianidae. The record is from RNAcentral.